This 971-nucleotide ribosomal RNA is filed under the name Salmonella enterica subsp. enterica serovar Kentucky. RNAcentral's name for it is "partial 23S ribosomal RNA". It matches the Rfam family "Bacterial large subunit ribosomal RNA", at positions 579 to 1554 of the family's 2925-position model. Lineage: Bacteria; Pseudomonadati; Pseudomonadota; Gammaproteobacteria; Enterobacterales; Enterobacteriaceae. The record is from RNAcentral.
GCUUUGGGGUGGGGUGACUGCGUACCUUUUGUAUAAUGGGUCAGCGACUUAUAUUCUGUAGCAAGGUUAACCGUAUAGGGGAGCCGAAGGGAAACCGAGUCUUAACUGGGCGUUAAGUUGCAGGGUAUAGACCCGAAACCCGGUGAUCUAGCCAUGGGCAGGUUGAAGGUUGGGUAACACUAACUGGAGGACCGAACCGACUAAUGUUGAAAAAUUAGCGGAUGACUUGUGGCUGGGGGUGAAAGGCCAAUCAAACCGGGAGAUAGCUGGUUCUCCCCGAAAGCUAUUUAGGUAGCGCCUCGUGAACUCAUCUUCGGGGGUAGAGCACUGUUUCGGCUAGGGGGUCAUCCCGACUUACCAACCCGAUGCAAACUGCGAAUACCGAAGAAUGUUAUCACGGGAGACACACGGCGGGUGCUAACGUCCGUCGUGAAGAGGGAAACAACCCAGACCGCCAGCUAAGGUCCCAAAGUCACAGUUAAGUGGGAAACGAUGUGGGAAGGCUCAGACAGCCAGGAUGUUGGCUUAGAAGCAGCCAUCAUUUAAAGAAAGCGUAAUAGCUCACUGGUCGAGUCGGCCUGCGCGGAAGAUGUAACGGGGCUAAACUGUGCACCGAAGCUGCGGCAGCGACGCUUAUGCGUUGUUGGGUAGGGGAGCGUUCUGUAAGCCUGCGAAGGUGUCCUGUGAGGGAUGCUGGAGGUAUCAGAAGUGCGAAUGCUGACAUAAGUAACGAUAAUGCGGGUGAAAAGCCCGCUCGCCGGAAGACCAAGGGUUCCUGUCCAACGUUAAUCGGGGCAGGGUGAGUCGACCCCUAAGGCGAGGCCGAAAGGCGUAGUCGAUGGGAAACGGGUUAAUAUUCCCGUACUUGGUGUUACUGCGAAGGGGGGACGGAGAAGGCUAUGUUGGCCGGGCGACGGUUGUCCCGGUUUAAGCGUGUAGGCUGGUUUUCCAGGCAAAUCCGGAAAAUCAAG